Molecule: non-coding RNA, 89 nt
Organism: Caerostris extrusa
Lineage: Eukaryota; Metazoa; Arthropoda; Arachnida; Araneae; Araneidae
Source: the annotation of a GenBank genome assembly
ACAGCCAUACCAUGCUGAAUAUACCGGUUCUCGCUAGAUCACCGAAGUCAAGCAUCAUUGGGCGCGGUCAGUACUUGGGUUGGUAUUCA